GGACGGUGAGGGAGACCGCGAGGGACAGGGGGCCCGCCGGGCCGCCAGGCAAGCAAGGCAGUGAGUGGGGACUGCUGAGCCAAUGUUUGUGGAGUGAACGGCGUUGGGCUCACAGGUAAGUCACAAGCAGGGACUUGAGCAAGCCCUGGGCUCAGCACCUCAGCCCACAGUCCCUCCUUUGCCGGGGGGUUGGGCGUGCGCCGCGUUGGGGUUACAAAGUUGGAGUGCUUUUCCACUGUGUCUCUUGGCCACUGCCAGUGGGGACAGGCCUGGAGAAGGUACACAAGUCUGUAUUGCACACUAAUUGUUGAGCUGCAUUGCACAGGCAAGCUGGCCCCAUGCGCUCCUGGAACUCCCUGAGGAUUCACAGAUCACAGGGCUAUGUCUCUGCCAUCCCCUGCCUGCAAUGCUCUAGCAAUGGGAGUCCUUUAUGGUCUUCACAUAGGCGCAGCCGGAGGCCUCCCCUGGGAGUGCAGCUGGGAUUUGGGUGAAUCUCAUUGGGUUUGCCCACUUUGAGUGGAAAUGCAAUUUGAUGGCUAAGCUUACAAGGAAAAACAUCUCUGUCCCUGUCUUCAGAGAGGGAUGGCCCCAAGGUUUGACAUCUGGGGUCCCUUCUGGCGUUGAUGGCCUUGGCCGCCAGGGGCCUGGCUGCUGCUGCUGCCCUUACCACACUUGCCGUGACCCUGAGGGUGGGCAUAAGCCCCUUUGGAGACUACUGACACUUUGACCCUCUAGCUGCAUGGUCCCCCGAGCAUCCCAGAACCGCUGGUAACGGCGGGGCUGCCCUUGGAGACUUGAAGGCUACGGGAGCUUUGUCUUUCCCAAAGGCAGGCCAGCAAGGAGCAAGGC
Lepus europaeus (European hare) is the source of this 849-nucleotide RNA transcript. It is a transcript of the gene named BLACAT1 overlapping LEMD1 locus, with no coding region annotated. The transcript is spliced from 2 exons. The record is from RefSeq and is a predicted model, not a curated record. NCBI's taxonomy places the organism in Eukaryota, Metazoa, Chordata, Mammalia, Lagomorpha, Leporidae.